This 1066-nucleotide long non-coding RNA is filed under the name Sorghum bicolor (sorghum). RNAcentral's name for it is "long non-coding RNA (SBIC_LNC010793)". Lineage: Eukaryota; Viridiplantae; Streptophyta; Magnoliopsida; Poales; Poaceae. The record is from RNAcentral.
CUCCAAUUAUUAUGAAAAUUUUAUGGUGGCCUAUUUAAUAUGAUGCUUGAUUCAUGGUAAAAGUUUUAACACCAUUCCUGUAUAUCUCACUGACUUACUAAUUUACCUAAAUUUAUACUUGAGGAUGCUUCCACUACCUUUGCACGAUGUGUUGUUAUGUCAUAUGAACACUUCAUAAGCUCAUGUGUUUAUAAUCUACAUACAUUUAAUUGAUAUAUCAUAUUUCAUAGGAAUCCUAAUCUAAAUAAACAAAUAAAGCUAGUAACAAACUUCUCAUGUUUUAAUAUAAUACUAAGAUAUAUUAAGAGGUAAUAUUAGAGUAAAAUAAGGUUUGACUAGUUUCUAUUUUUAUUAUUAAAUAAAUAUGUCUCCGAGCUACAUAUUAUUGUAAAUAAUAACUAUCUAAUGCCAUAGAUGUUAUGGUUAUCAAUAAAAUAAAUUAUAGACUUUAAAUUUUAUAAAAAAGGAUAAAUAUAAAUAGAUAUGUAACAUUCAUUUGAUGUUUUUCUCCCGUUGUAACGCACGGGCAUAUUUGCUAGUUAAAAUAAUAAUUCACCUUGAUAUAUAAUCAUUUUAGUACUAUCUAUAAUAAAGACAUUUGUGAAUUGCAACUCAUUUUUUUUGUUUUUUUCUGUGAGGUGAGAAACUAAAGCUAAUCAAUAUGGCAGCAUUUUUCGGAAUUUGCUAGGGAGCAUUUUCAGUAAUAACACUUUAAGGAGGUUGUAAAUUUGUGUUUGUCCUAUAUAAAAACUCUUUAAAACAACUUUCUAAUUAGUUUUUUUUGGAAGAGAACCCUCUUCCAAUAGUUUUAUAAACCUAGAUAUGAGAAUAUAUCAAAUGAAAUACCUCACCCGACUCAUAGAUAUGUCUGUGUUUCGAGGUUGCUAUGUUGGGCGCCUCUGCUUCACCCUACGGUUUUCGAGUUUUAGAAAGCUAACUAUGUAAGAGAAAAAAAAACUAAACUAAAGCUUUUAUAGAAAAAGGAGUCAGGUUUACCAUGUGUCUUUAGUUAAGAAGCUUUUCCAGAUGCUUUAUACUUUCUUCGUCCUUGAAUAAAUUAUUUUCU